GUGGGGAAUAUUGGACAAUGGGCGAAAGCCUGAUCCAGCCAUGCCGCGUGUGUGAAGAAGGUCUUCGGAUUGUAAAGCACUUUAAGUUGGGAGGAAGGGCAGUAAGUUAAUACCUUGCUGUUUUGACGUUACCGACAGAAUAAGCACCGGCUAACUUCGUGCCAGCAGCCGCGGUAAUACGAAGGGUGCAAGCGUUAAUCGGAAUUACUGGGCGUAAAGCGCGCGUAGGUGGUUUUGUAAGUUGGAGGUGAAAUCCCGGGGCUCAACCUGGGAACUGCCUCCAAAACUGCAUGACUAGAGUACGGUAGAGGGUAGUGGAAUUUCCUGUGUAGCGGUGAAAUGCGUAGAUAUAGGAAGGAACACCAGUGGCGAAGGCGACUACCUGGACUGAUACUGACACUGAGGUGCGAAAGCGUGGGGAGCAAACAGGAUUAGAAACCCCGGUAGUCC
Molecule: ribosomal RNA, 450 nt
Filed under: uncultured bacterium
Lineage: Bacteria
Description: bacterial SSU rRNA
Rfam family: Bacterial small subunit ribosomal RNA
Source: RNAcentral